This 349-nucleotide long non-coding RNA is filed under the name Medicago truncatula (barrel medic). RNAcentral describes it as "lncRNA gene27731". Lineage: Eukaryota; Viridiplantae; Streptophyta; Magnoliopsida; Fabales; Fabaceae. The record is from RNAcentral.
UUUAGUAGUUCAAUUGUAAAAAACAUUUCUAUUUCCUUCCUCUUUUGUAUUUAUAGGGCAACAAAUCCAGAAUCAUAAAUUAUGGGUAUCUCGAAGACGCUUCUUAUAGUAGCAAAAACCCAGACCAUUAGCUAUCAAGAAGUUAGUCAAGUAAGUUCUAUUUCCUGUCCUGUUUCUUAGUCCAGGUUUUAAGGGUCAUUUACUGUUAUAUAUUCUUACUUUGUACUUAUUCGUGGCAAUCUACUAGUGCAUAACUUGUAAAGAUUGUAGAGGAAGAAACAGAAAACCUAGAAAAUUCAUAUAGUCCUGCCAAAUGCUACAUCCGCAAAUAUGUUCUUUUCUUUUUUUU